GGAGAAGGGGGUGGAUAUAAUAAAACAUGAAUCCUGCUCUCUAAAAGCUGAGUGCAGAUAGAGAAGAUACUAUUUCUAGGGCACCCACCACGCGCCAGGUGUGUGCUAAAUAUUCUGCAUAUAUUGUCUCAUUUAUUCUUCACCAUCAUCAAAAUGUAAAUAAUAGAUGAGGCAACUGAGGAUCUGGAUGUUAAAGCUACUUGCUCAAGAUGACACAGCUAGUAAGAAGCAGAAUGGAGGGGCCGGCCCGGUGGCGCAGCGGUUAAGUUCACACGUUCUGCUUCUGUGGCCCAGGGUUUGUCGGUUCGGAUCCCAGGUAUGGACAUGGCACCGCUUGGCAAGCCAUGCUGUGGUAGGUGUCCCACAUAUAAAGUAGAGGAAGAUGGGCACAGAUGCUAGCUCAGGGUCAGUCUUCCUCAGCAAAAAGAGGAGGAUUGGCAGCAGAUGUUAGUUCAGGGCUAAUCUUCCUCAAAAAAAAACCCAUAUAAGAAUGGAGAUUCCUCCUCGAUCUCUGAGACCUGAAGCCUGGUUCUUUCCUCUAUGCUGUACUAUCAUCCAAAAUAAGGAUGAAGUAGAAGGUAGGCAGUGACCCUGGAAGUUCAGACAAAGUGCCAUGGAAGGUCAGGGGGAACACUUUCAUGCAUGGGACUGCUGACCACUUCUGGAAAGUAGAAGCCAUCCACAUGGGUCUCUCUAACACCCAUCCCCUACCCUGGAUGAAAACUGAAAAUUCCACAGAACCUCAGGUACUUGUGAUCUCCAACAUGAAACCACCAGUUUUUUGGAAUCAACUUUCCAUUUCUAUCAGAUGGUUUGUGCGUGACAGACACAGCCUUAGGGGUUUUUCCAUUCUGCCUUGCCUGGCACUAAGCAUCUGUGUGGCUGUGUUCCAUAUGGAACAGGGCGCUGGGAGCAGGCAGAGGUUAACCUUUUUUGAAGUUGGAAACUGUCAGUUUCAGGAUUUCAAAAUGUUUGCUGUCUAGGGUGGAGAUUGCCUUGGGAACAAAGUCACCCUUUGUUCUAGGAGGUCCCCUCUGCUGGGCACUGCUAGUCAAGACUUGUGAGCCAAUAUUCAAAUCUGGGAAGUCACCCAAAGGCAGAUGAUGCAAGCUGUCUAUGUUCUGGUUAGUCCCAUAAAGUGAGGAUGCAACAGAAGGGCGGGAGAGAGUUUCUUUUCUCCUAAAGCUAAAUUGAAAGUAUCCUAUGUCAGAAAAAAGUAUUAGCGCUGUCUAUGUGUUUCUCAUGGAGAUUAUGAGUGUUGGCCAAGGCAGGUUUCCUUCACAUCGGGUUAGAAGAAAGACUGUCCUGGGCUUGGUAGAGAGCUAUGCACAGGGUGAUGGCUUCACACACAGAGCGAGCAGCCCCCACUGGGAACCUGGCCUGGUUCAGCUGCAACAGUCCAGUCCUGGCCAUUUGCGUCAGACCACAGUGUGUGUUGGGUGAGGUGCUAAGGAGGGGAAAUUCCAGGUCUUCAGGAGCAAGAGAAAGCUGGGUAACAUAUCUUCUCAACGAGCGAGGCAUCGUCCUGGAAAUCCGGUCUUCCUCAUCCCACCAGCUUCGAUUGUUCAGCUACUCCGCUCAUUGUUUUAACUGGCAGUUUUCAAAGAAAUCAACAUGAAGAAUUCUGCAAAGCAAAGUUGGGCAUUUGAUUGUAAAAUCUGGUGUGAAGGCACGAUGGCGUGCUACUGGGAGAAUCAGAACAGCUUCCAACUUCAUAAGCCGUUCAUGAAGCUUAGAUUCUAAACACACAGACGUCUUUCUUGACUAAGGACAAUGUCACAGGUGAUUUUCUGGCUGCUUUUGAUUAAGUACCUAUACCUUUAAUUCUUUUUAAAUCACAAACAGUUUUUAAGUGAUUUGGAACUUGGCUUCCGGACUCAAACUGCGAAGGUUGAAAUCUUUAGCUCUGCGGCUCUGACCAGCUGACCAGCUUUCUUCAGCUUCUUGAAGCCUCGGUUCCUUUUUAAGUCAUUAAAAAGGGACUAAGAAUCCUUAUGUCAGGGCAUGAAGUGAGGAUUUAGUGAAAUAAUACAUAAAGUGCCUUGCACAAUUCCCAGAA
RNAcentral lists this long non-coding RNA (2059 nucleotides) under Equus caballus (horse). RNAcentral's name for it is "lncRNA (ENSECAG00000047387.1)". The record is from RNAcentral. Lineage: Eukaryota; Metazoa; Chordata; Mammalia; Perissodactyla; Equidae.